GACGAACGCUGGCGGCGUGCCUAAUACAUGCAAGUCGAACGCAGUGGGGACGGGUGAGUAACACGUGGGUAACCUCCCAUCAGAGGGGAUAACACUUGGAAAAAGGUGCUAAAAGCGAUAAUGAUGGAUGGACCCGCGGUGCAUUAGCUAGGUGGUGGGGUAACGGCUCACCAAGGCCACGAUGCAUAGCCGCCCGGAGAGGGUGAUCGGCCACACUGGAACUGCGACACGGCCCCGACUCCUACGGGAGGCAGCAGUAGGUAAUCUUCGGCAAUGGACGCAAGUCUGACCGAGCACCGCCGCGUGAGGGAAGAAGGUUUUCGGAUCGUAAAACUCUGUUGUUAGAAAAGCGGUAUCUAACCAGAAAGCCACGGCUAACUACGUGCCAGCAGCCGCGGUAAUAC
This 404-nucleotide ribosomal RNA is filed under the name uncultured bacterium. Its description in RNAcentral is "partial 16S ribosomal RNA". It matches the Rfam family "Bacterial small subunit ribosomal RNA", at positions 28 to 526 of the family's 1533-position model. The record is from RNAcentral.